This 453-nucleotide ribosomal RNA is filed under the name Triticum aestivum (bread wheat). RNAcentral describes it as "partial small subunit ribosomal RNA". The record is from RNAcentral. Lineage: Eukaryota; Viridiplantae; Streptophyta; Magnoliopsida; Poales; Poaceae.
AUGAUCCAGAUACUAUCACUCAUCCACAGCAAAAAGGGGAAACUGAGUAGCAUGCCGUACAUACCAGCUGACGUCACAAACCUACAGGCCAAGUACCGUAGAGAGAGCAAGCUGGCUGACAUUGAGGCCACAAUGGCCUACUUCGAUGAGAAAGCGAAGAAAGAUCCAGAUUUCUUCUACAGGAUAAGAUUGGACGAUGAGGACCGUGUCAGGAACAUGUAUUGGGUGGAUGGUGCUGCAAGGAGAGCCUACAAACAUUUCCGAGAUUGCAUUUCAUUCGACGUGACGUAUCUGACUAAUAUCUACAAGAUGACAUGCGCUCCAUUCAUAGGAAUAAAUAACCCAAUCAGUCGUUGCAGUUUGGCUGCGGGCUCGUUCGGAACGAAGACACGGAUGGGUACGUUUGGCUGUUCAAGACCUUCUUGGAGUGCAUGGAUGGACUUGCUCCGAUGA